Long non-coding RNA from Pan troglodytes (chimpanzee), 202 nucleotides. RefSeq lists it as uncharacterized. The record is from RefSeq and is a predicted model, not a curated record. NCBI's taxonomy places the organism in Eukaryota, Metazoa, Chordata, Mammalia, Primates, Hominidae. The transcript has 3 exons.
AGAAGCUGCCAUACCAUUUUCCAGAGUGGCUGACUGUACCAUUGACAUUCCCACCAGCAACAUGGAAGAGAUUCCUCAUCUGAAUUCCCCUCUGGUCGGUCAUCCCUAAAUAAAGAAUUGAUUGAAUCAACGUAUCACCUUUUGCUAAGAACUCAGCCCUGGGAUCACAAGUGUCUAAAGACACUUCCAUGAGAAUUAAUAU